RNAcentral lists this ribosomal RNA (440 nucleotides) under uncultured bacterium. RNAcentral describes it as "partial 16S ribosomal RNA". It matches the Rfam family "Bacterial small subunit ribosomal RNA", at positions 338 to 795 of the family's 1533-position model. The record is from RNAcentral.
CCUACGGGGGGCAGCAGUGGGGGAUAUUGCACAAUGGGGGAAACCCUGAUGCAGCGACGCCGCGUGUGGGAAGACGGUCCUCUGGAUUGUAAACCACUGUCCCCAGGGACGAAGAUGACGGUACCUGGGGAGGAAGCUCCGGCUAACUACGUGCCAGCAGCCGCGGUCAUACGUAGGGAGCGAGCGUUGUCCGGAAUUACUGGGUGUACAGGGAGCGUAGGCGGGGAUGCAAGUUGGGGGUCAAAACUACCGGCUCAACUGGGAGUCGCACGCAAAACCGCAGCUCUCGAGUGAAGUAGAGGCAGGCGGAAUUCGUAGUGUAGCGGUGAAAUGCGUAGAUAUUAGGAGGAACACCAGUUGCGAAGGCGGCCUGCUGGGCUUUUACUGACGCUGAGGCUCGAAAGUGUGGGGAGCGAACAGGAUUAGAUACCCCUGUAGUC